UACUAAUUGUCGCUAGAAAAAUUCGGCUGUUUGAUUGUGGUCUGUUACGAAGUCUAUUGCUGUACCUCGUUUUGUAAGUCCCAAGUAAUACACGUAUUUUUAUUAGCAAUACCCUAGAUUUUCACAUGCAAUACGAGGAAUUCACAGCAUGUCUACAGUAACUGGUAAAGUAAAAUUCUUUAACGAAGCUAAAGGCUUCGGUUUCAUCGAGCAAGAACAAGGCGCAGACGUAUUUGUACAUUUCAGUGCAAUCCAGUCUGACGGCUUCAAAACUCUGGCUGAAGGCCAGCAAGUUCAGUUCACUAUCGCUCAAGGUCCUAAAGGCCCACAAGCAGAAAACGUAGUACCUAUGUAAUUACUGCAUAAGGUGCUCGCGUUAAGCGAACUCUUUAUCGAAAAAGCCGCUCACUGAGCGGCUUUUUUUU
RNAcentral lists this small RNA (425 nucleotides) under Pseudidiomarina salinarum. Its description in RNAcentral is "cspA thermoregulator". It matches the Rfam family "cspA thermoregulator". The record is from Rfam by way of RNAcentral. Lineage: Bacteria; Pseudomonadati; Pseudomonadota; Gammaproteobacteria; Alteromonadales; Idiomarinaceae.